CAGCAGCCGCGGUAAUACGUAGGUGGCAAGCGUUGUCCGGAAUUAUUGGGCGUAAAGGGCUCGCAGGCGGUUUCUUAAGUCUGAUGUGAAAGCCCCCGGCUCAACCGGGGAGGGUCAUUGGAAACUGGGAAACUUGAGUGCAGAAGAGGAGAAUGGAAUUCCACGUGUAGCGGUGAAAUGCGUAGAGAUGUGGAGGAACACCAGUGGCGAAGGCGACUCUCUGGUCUGUAACUGACGCUGAGGAGCGAAAGUGUGGGGAGCGAACAGGAUUAGAUACCCGAGUAGUCCCUGUCUCUUAUAC
RNAcentral lists this ribosomal RNA (301 nucleotides) under uncultured bacterium. Its description in RNAcentral is "partial 16S ribosomal RNA". It matches the Rfam family "Bacterial small subunit ribosomal RNA", at positions 509 to 807 of the family's 1533-position model. The record is from RNAcentral.